CCACAGAUAUAUCCCUUAACCAAUGUAAUAUGGUGUCUCUUAUUGUCCUGGAAGAGGUGGUCUCCACUGAUAUAUCCCUUAAUGUAUUAUGGUGUCUCCUAUUGUCCUGGAAGAGGUGGUCUCCACUGAUAUAUCCCUUAAUGUAUUAUGGUGUCUCCUAUUGUCCUGGAAGAGGUGGUCUCCACUGAUAUAUCCCUUAAUGUAUUAUGGUGUCUCCUAUUGUCCUGGAAGAGGUGGUCUCCACUGAUAUAUCCCUUAAUGUAUUAUGGUGUCUCCUAUUGUCCUGGAAGAGGUGGUCUCCACUGAUAUAUCCCUUAAUGUAUUAUGGUGUCUCCUAUUGUCCUGGAAGAGGUGGUCUCCACUGAUAUAUCCCUUAAUGUAUUAUGGUGUCUCCUAUUGUCCUGGAAGAGGUGGUCUCCACUGAUAUAUCCCUUAAUGUAUUAUGGUGUCUCCUAUUGUCCUGGAAGAGGUGGUCUCCACUGAUAUAUCCCUUAAUGUAUUAUGGUGUCUCCUAUUGUCCUGGAAGAGGUGGUCUCCACUGAUAUAUCCCUUAAUGUAUUAUGGUGUCUCCUAUUGUCCUGGAAGAGGUGGUCUCCACUGAUAUAUCCCUUAAUGUAUUAUGGUGUCUCCUAUUGUCCUGGAAGAGGUGGUCUCCACUGAUAUAUCCCUUAAUGUAUUAUGGUGUCUCCUAUUGUCCUGGAAGAGGUGGUCUCCACUGAUAUAUCCCUUAACCAAUGUAAUAUGGUGUCUCUUA
Oncorhynchus keta (chum salmon) is the source of this 754-nucleotide long non-coding RNA. RefSeq lists it as uncharacterized. Lineage: Eukaryota; Metazoa; Chordata; Actinopteri; Salmoniformes; Salmonidae. The record is from RefSeq and is a predicted model, not a curated record. The transcript is spliced from 4 exons.